This is a non-coding RNA of Podarcis lilfordi (Lilford's wall lizard), 70 nucleotides long. The record is from the annotation of a GenBank genome assembly. Lineage: Eukaryota; Metazoa; Chordata; Lepidosauria; Squamata; Lacertidae.
GCCCUUUGUGUCAGUUGGUAGAGCAUGAGACUUAAUCUCAAAGUCAUGGGUUUGAGCCCCACAUUGGGUG